RNAcentral lists this unclassified non-coding RNA (286 nucleotides) under Pleosporales sp. RNAcentral's name for it is "partial contains 5.8S ribosomal RNA, internal transcribed spacer 2, and large subunit ribosomal RNA". The stretch from base 1 to 71 matches the Rfam family "5.8S ribosomal RNA", at positions 84 to 154 of the family's 154-position model. Lineage: Eukaryota; Fungi; Ascomycota; Dothideomycetes; Pleosporales. The record is from RNAcentral.
GUGAGUCAUCGAAUCUUUGAACGCACAUUGCGCCCUUCGGUAUUCCGUUGGGCAUGCCUGUUCGAGCGUCAUUUAACCCUUCAAGCUCUGCUUGGUGUUGGGCGUUUGUUCCGCCUUUGCGCGUGGACUCGCCUCAAAUUCAUUGGCAGCCGGUAAGUUGGCUUCGUGCGCAGCACAUUGCGUUACGGUUCCAGCCUGCCUCCUUCCACGAAAGCUUCUUCUAUUACUUUGACCUCGGAUCAGGUAGGGAUACCCGCUGAACUUAAGCAUAUCAAUAAGCGGAGGA